AAUCGACCUCAAAUCAGAUGGGAUUACCCGCUGAACUUAAGCAUAUCAAUAAGCGGAGGAAAAGAAACUAACAAGGAUUCCCC
Molecule: ribosomal RNA, 83 nt
Filed under: Wallemia sebi
Lineage: Eukaryota; Fungi; Basidiomycota; Wallemiomycetes; Wallemiales; Wallemiaceae
Description: partial 28S ribosomal RNA
Rfam family: Eukaryotic large subunit ribosomal RNA
Source: RNAcentral